UACGAAGGUCCCAAGCGUUGUUCGGAAUUACUGGGCGUAAAGCGCACGUAGGCGGCUUUGUAAGUUAGAGGUGAAAGCCCGGGGCUCAACUCCGGAACUGCCUUUAAGACUGCAUCGCUAGAACGUCGGAGAGGUAAGUGGAAUUCCGAGUGUAGAGGUGAAAUUCGUAGAUAUUCGGAAGAACACCAGUGGCGAAGGCGACUUACUGGACGACUGUUGACGCUGAGGUGCGAAAGCGUGGGGAGCAAACAGG
This 253-nucleotide ribosomal RNA is filed under the name uncultured bacterium. RNAcentral describes it as "partial 16S ribosomal RNA". It matches the Rfam family "Bacterial small subunit ribosomal RNA", at positions 524 to 776 of the family's 1533-position model. The record is from RNAcentral.